RNAcentral lists this long non-coding RNA (431 nucleotides) under Capsella rubella. RNAcentral's name for it is "long non-coding RNA (CRUB_LNC003175)". The record is from RNAcentral. Lineage: Eukaryota; Viridiplantae; Streptophyta; Magnoliopsida; Brassicales; Brassicaceae.
UUAAAGAAUAAGAAAAUAUGAUGAUGCAUAUAAUGAUAAGGUAAAUGCAUUCCUUUUUUCAAACCUUAUUAACUUUCCUACUACAUUUCAAAUAACUUGAAUCAGAUUAUGAUUUUAAAAAAAUAUAUGUAUAUUAAAAAAAAAUUCUAAUAGCAACUUUGCGGCCUAGCGUGGAUUUCAAACUAGUUAUAGUUAAUACCUACUAGUUGAUUUUUUUUUGUUUAUUUCAAGGCAAAUAUGAGGUACCAAAUCAACUUUAGUUUAAGUAAUUAAAAAACUGGGAUGAAUUAUUUACUCGAACUCACACAUUAAAAGAAUAACAAAACAACAUAAGAUUAUUCAUCCAGUUAAUAAAUUGUUAUAACAACCAAUUAUAUAUGCAAAAAUUGUGCAUAUAUAUGUGUGGGUAUUAGUCUAUCCUUUAAUUUUUU